AGCAACGGCUAACUACGUGCCAGCAGCCGCGGUAAUACGUAGGUUGCAAGCGUUGUCCGGAUUUACUGGGUGUAAAGGGCGUGUAGGCGGAGAUGCAAGUCAGGAGUGAAAUCCCGGGGCUCAACCCYGGAACUGCUUUCGAAACUGUAUCCCUUGAGURUCGGAGAGGCAAGCGGAAUUCCUAGUGUAGCGGUGAAAUGCGUAGAUAUUAGGAGGAACACCAGUGGCGAAGGCGGCUUGCUGGACGACAACUGACGCUGAGGCGCGAAAGCGUGGGGAGCAAACAGGAUUAGAUACCCUGGUAGUCCACGCUGUAAACGAUGAAUACUAGGUGUGGGAGGACUGACCCCUUCCGUGCCGCAGUUAACACAAUAAGUAUUCCACCUGGGGAGUACGACCGCAAGGUUGAAACUCAAAGGAAUUGACGGGGGCCCGCACAAGCAGUGGAUUAUGUGGUUUAAUUCGACGCAACGCGAAGAACCUUACCAGGAYUUGACAUCCAACUAACGAAGUAGAGAUACAUUAGGUGCCCUUCGGGGAAAGUUGAGACAGGUGGUGCAUGGUUGUCGUCAGCUCGUGUCGUGAGAUGUUGGGUUAAGUCCCGCAACGAGCGCAACCCCUAUUGUUAGUUGCUACGCGAGAGCACUCUAGCRAGACUGCCGUUGACAAAACGGAGGAAGGCGGGGACGACGUCAAAUCAUCAUGCCCCUUAUGUCCUGGGCUACACACGUAAUACAAUGGCCGUCAACARAGGGAAGCAAWRCCGCGAGGCRGAGCAAAUCCCCAAAAACGGUCUCAGUUCGGAUUGCAGGCUGCAACUCGCCUGCAUGAAGCUGGAAUUGCUAGUAAUCGUGGAUCAGCAUGCCRCGGUGAAUACGUUCCCGGGCCUUGUACACACCGCCCGUCACACCAUGAGAGUCGGGAACACCCGAAGUCCGUAGUCUAACCGCAAGGAGGGCGCGGCCGAAG
RNAcentral lists this ribosomal RNA (969 nucleotides) under uncultured bacterium. Its description in RNAcentral is "bacterial SSU rRNA". It matches the Rfam family "Bacterial small subunit ribosomal RNA", at positions 488 to 1461 of the family's 1533-position model. The record is from RNAcentral.